Molecule: ribosomal RNA, 425 nt
Filed under: uncultured Sphingomonas sp.
Lineage: Bacteria; Pseudomonadati; Pseudomonadota; Alphaproteobacteria; Sphingomonadales; Sphingomonadaceae
Description: bacterial SSU rRNA
Rfam family: Bacterial small subunit ribosomal RNA
Source: RNAcentral
AUGCAAGUCGAACGAGAUCCUUCGGGGUCUAGUGGCGAACGGGUGCGUAACGCGUGGGAAUCUGCCCCUUUGUUCGGAAUAACAGUUGGAAACGACUGCUAAUACCGGAUGAUGACGAAAGUCCAAAGAUUUAUCGCCAGAGGAUGAGCCCGCGUAGGAUUAGCUAGUUGGUGGGGUAAAGGCCCACCAAGGCGACGAUCCUUAGCUGGUCUGAGAGGAUGAUCAGCCACACUGGAACUGAGACACGGCCCAGACUCCUACGGGAGGCAGCAGUGGGGAAUAUUGGACAAUGGGCGAAAGCCUGAUCCAGCAAUGCCGCGUGAGUGAUGAAGGCCUUAGGGUUGUAAAGCUCUUUUACCAGGGAAGAUAAUGACAGUACCGGGAGAAUAAGCCCCGGCUAACUCCGUGCCAGCAGCCGCGGUAAU